Cornus florida is the source of this 1049-nucleotide long non-coding RNA. RefSeq lists it as uncharacterized. NCBI's taxonomy places the organism in Eukaryota, Viridiplantae, Streptophyta, Magnoliopsida, Cornales, Cornaceae. The record is from RefSeq and is a predicted model, not a curated record. The transcript is spliced from 3 exons.
ACGGAAGUUUGCAUUUUUUUUUUUUUAGAGAGAAAGGGAGAGAUAGGGAGAGAGGGACUGCGAUGUGCUGGAGACUGGCUCUCUCAAAUGUUCACGUCUUUAACCUUAAAAAAGAAAGACUUCUAUUUGCAGAAGAGUGGUUCUCAUGGAUGAUGAUGGAUGAUAAUAUGUACAACAUGGAAUAAAGUCUCUGUUAAGGAACAUGCACCUAUCUUGUUUUGACUGUAUCAGCUACAAUACCAGGACAAAGGAGAUGGGUUACUGGAGAUGCAGGUUGUUAACUUUUCCUGUCCAUGAAUCAGUUUUUGAUUUGAGUUUUUAGUAGGUGGAAUCAUCCAAAUUCUUCAGGAGAUGACGAGGGACACACCUCCAUCUUAUCUUGCAUUACUGCACAAUUACAACUGCAACAAAUGGCGCUAUGUCGCGGAAGUACUUGUGAAAGAUAUCCCUGUAACAACCCUAGACAGUGCGGUUGAUGUCAAUGCUACAAGCAAAAUCUCGAUGGCCAGUCAGCGGCAGUUAUUCAUGUUCAAGCCGGGACUGAAUGACUGCUUGCAGCUGAGGGCAACGGGGGCUUCUGAUCAUCUCCAUCAACUCCGCCGGUGGCGGGUGCUGUAGAAAGGGUUUUUGGAGUCCUCAGUGGCUUCAGUACUGUCUGAAAUCUAUCCUUGGGAGAAUCAGAUUUUUGCAAAAGUUGUGAAUAACCACGGAUAUGCAUAUGAUUCUGGUCAGCCUAAGGUCCAAUGAAUCAACCAACAGCCCCCAUCUUUCACUUCUUGAUAAUUAAUACCGAUGGAUAAAGAUUUGAAUCUUUGACUCAUAGAGAUUUGAACACACCGGGGCCUUUCAGUUAAAAAGUAAAGGAGAUAUUACUAGAGUGAGACAAGAAUGAUAGGGUCCAACUCUUUACGAGACACGAGUGAUAUUUGACUUGAUUUAAGUAAUUGAUAGGGGUGGCAAUUCGUGUUAUCGAUGGCUGGUCGACACGAUUAUUAAUCGUGUUUAAGAUUUUUGAUACAAACACAGUAGUAUGAUUAUUACAUGUGUAA